UACGGGGGGGGCAAGCGUUGUUCGGAAUUACUGGGCGUAAAGGGCUCGUAGGCGGCCAACUAAGUCAGACGUGAAAUCCCUCGGCUUAACCGGGGAACUGCGUCUGAUACUGGAUGGCUUGAGUUUGGGAGAGGGAUGCGGAAUUCCAGGUGUAGCGGUGAAAUGCGUAGAUAUCUGGAGGAACACCGGUGGCGAAGGCGGCAUCCUGGACCAACACUGACGCUGAUGAGCGAAAGCCAGGGGAGCUAACGGG
RNAcentral lists this ribosomal RNA (253 nucleotides) under uncultured bacterium. Its description in RNAcentral is "partial 16S ribosomal RNA". It matches the Rfam family "Bacterial small subunit ribosomal RNA", at positions 524 to 776 of the family's 1533-position model. The record is from RNAcentral.